Molecule: RNase P RNA, 340 nt
Filed under: Bacillota bacterium
Lineage: Bacteria; Bacillati; Bacillota
Description: RNase P RNA component class B
Rfam family: Bacterial RNase P class B
About the family: Ribonuclease P (RNase P) is a ubiquitous endoribonuclease, found in archaea, bacteria and eukarya as well as chloroplasts and mitochondria. Its best characterised activity is the generation of mature 5'-ends of tRNAs by cleaving the 5'-leader elements of precursor-tRNAs. Cellular RNase Ps are ribonucleoproteins.
Source: RNAcentral
AUAUUUUGACAAAUGCUGCAUUCUUAGUAAUGUAGAGGAAAGUCCAUGCUCACACUAUCUGUGAUGAUAGUAGUGUUCGCGCUAGGGGAAAAAAUAACCCUAGGUAGCUUUGCUAACGGCUCUGAAAUAACCUAAGUCUAGUAUAUGGUUAGAUUAAGUGUAAAAGUGCCAAAGUGACGAAGAAAUCAGAAAUGAUGGAAGUGGAACGUGGUAAACCCCGCGAGUGAGAAACCCAAAUUUUGGUAGGGGAACUCGGGCUAGGGAAUAAGAACCGAACCUGGGACCGAAAGGUAGAUAAAUAUUUGUCGCUCUUUAUGAGAACAGAACAUGGCUUAUAAAA